This 28-nucleotide small RNA is filed under the name Bombyx mori (domestic silkworm). Its description in RNAcentral is "ovarian small RNA-4364". The record is from RNAcentral. Lineage: Eukaryota; Metazoa; Arthropoda; Insecta; Lepidoptera; Bombycidae.
ACAGAUGAAAUUUCGGUUCAGGACCUAC